RNAcentral lists this ribosomal RNA (305 nucleotides) under uncultured bacterium. RNAcentral's name for it is "partial 16S ribosomal RNA". It matches the Rfam family "Bacterial small subunit ribosomal RNA", at positions 508 to 807 of the family's 1533-position model. The record is from RNAcentral.
ACAGCAGCCGCCGCGGGAAUACGUAGGGUCCGAGCGUUGUCCGGAAUUAUUGGGCGUAAAGGGCUCGUAGGCGGUUUGUUGCGUCGGGAGUGAAAACCUACAGCUUAACUGUGGGCUUGCUUUCGAUACGGGCAGACUUGAGGCAUUCAGGGGAGAACGGAAUUCCUGGUGUAGCGGUGAAAUGCGCAGAUAUCAGGAGGAACACCGGUGGCGAAGGCGGUUCUCUGGGAAUGUUCUGACGCUGAGGCACGAAGGCCAGGGGAGCAAACGGGAUUAGAUACCCCAGUAGUCCCUGUCUCUUAUAC